AUUGUCCAUAUUGGAGACCUGUCCAGUUUUGUACCUGCUGCUGUAUUGGACUUUACUAAAUCCAAGAUGAACAAGCUAUUCUUUAUCCUUCUCAUCGCCAUGGUUGUAUCUUGCUUCGCGGAGCCAGAAGCAGCACCUGACAAGACCGUAGACAAGCGGUCCAUUUUCCUGUACCCAUCGUACCCGCGCCUGUACCGUGGGUAUCCGUACCGCGCUGGGUUCUACCCGUACGCGUAUGGACAUCCCUAUUAUGAGCCGGCUGCUCGGUACUUUUAUCCCUACUGAUUUAACAAAUGGAACUAUGUAAAUGCCUGGAUUUGAAAUUAUUCUUUUAGUUUUCUUUUCAACAUUUUUCUCGCGUUCGUUUCAUUUAAAUUGUACACAUAAGACAUACAUACUUUUUACAAAAAAUAAAAUAAAAAAAUAAACCGACUUCAAUAAUUCUAACACUCAAAACCGCGAAAUAAAACUCUUACGCAAUUUCCGACUUAUGGAUGUAUGUUGCUAAAGACUUGUAUAAUUAUACCUGGUAGUUUAGUAAUAAAAUUACAUUGUAGCAUUCAUUAUGUGCACUAAGGAUUGACUUUACCAACAUUAAAUUUUAUAAACAUAAAGCAAAUGUAAUCAUUA
Molecule: long non-coding RNA, 630 nt
Organism: Plodia interpunctella (Indianmeal moth)
Lineage: Eukaryota; Metazoa; Arthropoda; Insecta; Lepidoptera; Pyralidae
Exons: 2
Source: RefSeq, a predicted model, not a curated record